This 254-nucleotide ribosomal RNA is filed under the name uncultured bacterium. Its description in RNAcentral is "partial 16S ribosomal RNA". It matches the Rfam family "Bacterial small subunit ribosomal RNA", at positions 524 to 776 of the family's 1533-position model. The record is from RNAcentral.
UACGUAGGGUGCGAGCGUUGUCCGGAAUUACUGGGCGUAAAGAGCUCGUAGGUGGUUUGUCGCGUUGUCCGUGAAAACUCACAACUCAAUUGUGGGCGUGCGGGCGAUACGGGCAGACUGGAGUACUGCAGGGGAGACUGGAAUUCCUGGUGUAGCGGUGAAAUGCGCAGAUAUCAGGAGGAACACCAAUGGCGAAGGCAGCCUCGCUGGAACGGUACUGACGCUGAGGCGCGAAAGCGUGGGGAGCAAACAGG